This 621-nucleotide ribosomal RNA is filed under the name uncultured bacterium. RNAcentral's name for it is "bacterial SSU rRNA". It matches the Rfam family "Bacterial small subunit ribosomal RNA", at positions 338 to 950 of the family's 1533-position model. The record is from RNAcentral.
CCUACGGGAGGCAGCAGUAGGGAAUCUUCCGCAAUGGACGAAAGUCUGACGGAGCAACGCCGCGUGAACGAUGAAGGCCUUCGGGUCGUAAAGUUCUGUUGUUAGGGAAGAACAAGUGCUAGUUAAAUAAGCUGGCACCUUGACGGUACCUAACCAGAAAGCCACGGCUAACUACGUGCCAGCAGCCGCGGUAAUACGUAGGUGGCAAGCGUUGUCCGGAAUUAUUGGGCGUAAAGCGCGCGCAGGCGGUUUCUUAAGUCUGAUGUGAAAGCCCCCGGCUCAACCGGGGAGGGUCAUUGGAAACUGGGAAACUUGAGUGCAGAAGAGGAAAGUGGAAUUCCAAGUGUAGCGGUGAAAUGCGUAGAGAUUUGGAGGAACACCAGUGGCGAAGGCGACUUUCUGGUCUGUAACUGACGCUGAGGCGCGAAAGCGUGGGGAGCAAACAGGAUUAGAUACCCUGGUAGUCCACGCUGUAAACGAUGAGUGCUAAGUGUUAGAGGGUUUCCGCCCUUUAGUGCUGAAGUUAACGCAUUAAGCACUCCGCCUGGGGAGUACGGUCGCAAGCUGAAACUCAAAGAGAUGACGNGNGAGACGCGACGACGACGACGACGGAGGGAGGAG